GCACUUUGAUUUGCUUAUAUAUAUAUUCCCCUUUUACAUAUUGGAAACUACAAUUGGCAUCAGGAAACUGGAGAGCAAGUCCAGUUUAGGAUUAUCUAGUUUUCUACAUUUGGUGUUGCAAAUGACUUAUCUUCUCCAUACUUCUUUAUGACUUUCUGAUCUAGACUCUCUUCUUCUAGCUUGUUCCUAGAGCCUGGCAUUUUAGUUAUUUCUUGUAUCAGCAAACUGUAUACUAUAUAGAUGGAUAGAUAGAUAGUUUGGUAAUGAGUUUUUAUCAUAGGAGUUUAUGACCUUAUUUGCGGAAAAGAUACGUAUAAACUGGAAACAAUUUCCAACGUUUUGAAUACCAGAAGGGAAAAUUUAUCAUAUGAUACAUUCUUGCUAUUUUCC
RNAcentral lists this long non-coding RNA (390 nucleotides) under Linum usitatissimum (flax). RNAcentral's name for it is "long non-coding RNA (LUSI_LNC004318)". The record is from RNAcentral. Lineage: Eukaryota; Viridiplantae; Streptophyta; Magnoliopsida; Malpighiales; Linaceae.